AAACGUCUAACUUUUUGAACUAAGUAUUAUUGAAAAGUGUACUGCGUGUGUGUCGUGUGUCAACUCCAGGAGGCAAAGGAAAUACAAGAAACAAAGGAAGAUUUCCAGAAGACAGUGUGAUUUCUGAAGUGGUGAUCCAAGGUCGAGGUUGUCUGCUGUCAAGAGGAUGUCAUGUCACCCCAUGGAAUAAGGACAGAGUGCGUGGCGUGAUCUCCCGAGGGUUGGCGGUCGUGAGUUUUGUGACUGGCCGACUGUGGACUAGAGUGGACUUCGAGUGGACUGGGCAGUGUUAUAUAUAUUGUAAGGCUUUCUGGGUUGACUUGUACCAGUGCGGCAACAAGGAGUGUGCCUGACUGACGUGAGGCUGCAAGCCACGUCAAUGGUGUUGCACUGACUCCCGAGGUCCAGGUUCCAGGUCACAGCCUUGUUGCAAUACAUCACAAUCGCGUUGCAAGGGGAGUGCUCUCA
Eriocheir sinensis (Chinese mitten crab) is the source of this 468-nucleotide long non-coding RNA. RefSeq lists it as uncharacterized. Lineage: Eukaryota; Metazoa; Arthropoda; Malacostraca; Decapoda; Varunidae. The record is from RefSeq and is a predicted model, not a curated record. The transcript has 3 exons.